Molecule: non-coding RNA, 50 nt
Filed under: Plasmodium falciparum 3D7
Lineage: Eukaryota; Apicomplexa; Aconoidasida; Haemosporida; Plasmodiidae
Source: RNAcentral
UUCCCACUCUUUUUUGUACCUAUCCCACAAAAAAAACGUCUCAACCGCGG